GACGAACGCUGGCGGCGUGCUUAACACAUGCAAGUCGAACGGAAAGGCCCAGCUUGCUGGGUGCUCGAGUGGCGAACGGGUGAGUAACACGUGGGUGAUCUGCCUCUAACUUCGGGAUAAGCUUGGGAAACUGGGUCUAAUACCGGAUAGGACAAUCGUUUAGUGUCGGUUGUGGAAAGUUUUUUCGGUUAGGGAUGAGCCCGCGGCCUAUCAGCUUGUUGGUGGGGUAAUGGCCUACCAAGGCGUCGACGGGUAGCCGGCCUGAGAGGGUGGACGGCCACAUUGGGACUGAGAGACGGACCAGACGGCUACGGGAGGCAGCGGUGGGGAAUAUUGCACAAUGGGGGCAAGCCUGAUGCAGCGACGCCGCGUGGGGGAUGACGGCCUUCGGGUUGUAAACAUCUUUCGACAGGGACGAAGCUUUGGUGACGGUACCUGUAUAAGAAGCACCGGCUAACUACGUG
This 464-nucleotide ribosomal RNA is filed under the name uncultured bacterium. Its description in RNAcentral is "partial 16S ribosomal RNA". It matches the Rfam family "Bacterial small subunit ribosomal RNA", at positions 28 to 507 of the family's 1533-position model. The record is from RNAcentral.